CAACUACUCCCUCUGUCCCAAAUUUCUUGUCUUAGAUUUGUCUAGAUACGGAUGUAUCUAAUACUAAAAUGUGACUUGAUACAUCCGUAUCUAGAGAAAUCUAAGACAAGAAUUUUGGGACGGAGGGAGUACUUU
Molecule: non-coding RNA, 135 nt
Organism: Triticum aestivum (bread wheat)
Lineage: Eukaryota; Viridiplantae; Streptophyta; Magnoliopsida; Poales; Poaceae
Source: Rfam